RNAcentral lists this ribosomal RNA (507 nucleotides) under uncultured bacterium. RNAcentral describes it as "bacterial SSU rRNA". It matches the Rfam family "Bacterial small subunit ribosomal RNA", at positions 15 to 518 of the family's 1533-position model. The record is from RNAcentral.
GAUCUGGUCAGGAUGAACGCUAGCGACAGGCCUAACACAUGCAAGUCGAGGGGCAGCACGAAUAGCAAUAGUUGGUGGCGACCGGCGCACGGGUGAGUAACACGUAUGCAACCUACCUGUAAGAGGGGAAUAACCCGGAGAAAUUCGGACUAAUACCGCAUAAUACCUCGAAGCUGCAUGGCUUUGAGGUUAAAUAUUUAUAGCUUACAGAUGGGCAUGCGUAUGAUUAGCUAGUUGGUGAGGUAACGGCUCACCAAGGCAACGAUCAUUAGGGGUUCUGAGAGGAAGGUCCCCCACAUUGGAACUGAGACACGGUCCAAACUCCUACGGGAGGCAGCAGUGAGGAAUAUUGGUCAAUGGACGAGAGUCUGAACCAGCUAAGUCCGCGUGAAGGAAGAAGGUUCUAUGGAUUGUAAACUUCUUUUGUAAGGGAAUAAAGUUCACCACGUGUGGUGUUUUGUAUGUACUUUACGAAUAAGGAUCGGCUAACUCCGUGCCAGCCGCUGC